GUGUCAGCAGCCGCGGUAAUACGGAGGGUGCGAGCGUUGUUCGGAAUUAUUGGGCGUAAAGCGCGUGUAGGCGGCUCCUUAAGUCUGAUGUGAAAGCCCCGGGCUCAACCUGGGAAGUGCAUUGGAAACUGGGGAACUUGAAUACGGGAGAGGGUAGUGGAAUUCCUGGUGUAGGAGUGAAAUCCGUAGAUAUCAGGAGGAACACCGGUGGCGAAGGCGGCUACCUGGACCGAUAUUGACGCUGAGACGCGAAAGCGUGGGGAGCAAACAGGAUUAGAUACCCUGGUAGUCCACGCCGUAAACGAUGAGUACUAGGUGUUGCGGGUAUUGACCCCUGCAGUGCCGCAGCUAACGCAUUAAGUACUCCGCCUGGGAAGUACGGUCGCAAGACUAAA
RNAcentral lists this ribosomal RNA (395 nucleotides) under uncultured bacterium. RNAcentral describes it as "bacterial SSU rRNA". It matches the Rfam family "Bacterial small subunit ribosomal RNA", at positions 505 to 898 of the family's 1533-position model. The record is from RNAcentral.